RNAcentral lists this non-coding RNA (278 nucleotides) under Laccaria bicolor S238N-H82. Its description in RNAcentral is "Eukaryotic large subunit ribosomal RNA". It matches the Rfam family "Eukaryotic large subunit ribosomal RNA", at positions 1 to 272 of the family's 3401-position model. Lineage: Eukaryota; Fungi; Basidiomycota; Agaricomycetes; Agaricales; Hydnangiaceae. The record is from Rfam by way of RNAcentral.
UGACCUCAAAUCAGGUAGGACUACCCGCUGAACUUAAGCAUAUCAAUAAGCGGAGGAAAAGAAACUAACAAGGAUUCCCCUAGUAACUGCGAGUGAAGCGGGAAAAGCUCAAAUUUAAAAUCUGGCAGUCUUUGGCUGUCCGAGUUGUAAUCUAGAGAAGUAUUAUCCGCGCUGGACCGUGUACAAGUCUCCUGGAAUGGAGCGUCAUAGAGGGUGAGAAUCCCGUCUUUGACACGGACUGCCAGGGCUUUGUGAUAUGCUCUCGAAGAGUCGAGUGU